ACGCUCGACACCUACGGGAGGCAGCAGUGGGGAAUAUUGGGCAAUGGGCGCAAGCCUGACCCAGCAACGCCGCGUGAAGGAAGAAGGCUUUCGGGUUGUAAACUUCUUUUGUCAGGGAAGAGCAGAAGACGGUACCUGACGAAUAAGCCACGGCUAACUACGUGCCUGCAGCCGCGGUAAUCUGAGCGGGCUGGCAAGGC
Molecule: ribosomal RNA, 200 nt
Filed under: uncultured bacterium
Lineage: Bacteria
Description: partial 16S ribosomal RNA
Rfam family: Bacterial small subunit ribosomal RNA
Source: RNAcentral